UCCUCCCAGCGUCUGAAAGGAAGGCGGCCCCGCUGCAGAGAUGCUGAGCUCAGCUCUACCGCCGCCGGGCUGCUGGGUGGGGGGCUGGGCGAGGAGCCGGCGCCUUUCUGGAUGGAGAAAGUGAGGCGCAGAGCUGAGGUGUGGACCGAACUGGUUUGGGAUUUACUCUUUGCUUGAGGAGGUAUGAUGAAUAAUAGUUAAGGACCACUUUUAUGAGAAUCCCUUGGAUGUUAGUCAAAUUGGAGAUUCCUGUGCUGCAACUGAGACUAAUCUGGAAUCUCUAAGGUCUGAAUCCAGUUAUUCAGCAAAAAGCCGCAUGAGAUCACCUUCUAACAUCUCUCCAGCUCCUUUGGGGUAGGUGAAAAGGGCUUUCCGUGGUGGGGCAAGGUCUGAGACACUGAAACCAGAUCCAGUGAC
Molecule: long non-coding RNA, 417 nt
Organism: Phacochoerus africanus (Common warthog)
Lineage: Eukaryota; Metazoa; Chordata; Mammalia; Artiodactyla; Suidae
Exons: 4
Source: RefSeq, a predicted model, not a curated record